This 108-nucleotide small RNA is filed under the name Staphylococcus aureus. RNAcentral's name for it is "HMPRFS0000_2448". Lineage: Bacteria; Bacillati; Bacillota; Bacilli; Caryophanales; Staphylococcaceae. The record is from RNAcentral.
UAAUGAUAGUGAUUUAAAUUGGAUUUAUUUAGUGAAAAAUUUGCGAAAUGCAGGCGUCAGUAUUGAAUCGCUUAUCGAAUUUUGCAGGUUAGCGCAGCUUCCUAAAAA